Molecule: long non-coding RNA, 7411 nt
Organism: Corvus hawaiiensis (hawaiian crow)
Lineage: Eukaryota; Metazoa; Chordata; Aves; Passeriformes; Corvidae
Exons: 4
Source: RefSeq, a predicted model, not a curated record
CAGGAAGUCUUGACUUCAAGAGGCAGCAAAGCUCUAUAACAGUCCUACUCAUGAAGACCUCUAAUGUCUGGUGGAGUGGAAUAUCUCCCAGUAGCUGGAUUGCCAAUUCGAAGGAAGGAAGGAAGGAAGGAAGGAAGGAAGGAAGAGAGGGAGGAAAGAAGGAAAUCAAUCUCUGGAAUUUACGUUCCUGUGACUGUUUUCACUUAUCGCAUUUUUUUUCUAGAUCCAUAUUACUUAAUAUCACCAUAUUUUCAAGACUCUAGAAGAAGGAAUCAAUACCCUAUUCUUUAGGAGUAUUCAUUUUACAGAUACGUUUGAAUAUCCUGGAAAAUCUGUAUUUCUGUGUACUUCUCAAGGCUAACUCUAAAACUAUAGAACUUGAAAAUGUCUUUUAAAAAUUGGAAAUAAUUUUGUGAUCUAGGUUCACAGUCCAGAUACAUCUUGAUUAUACAUAAGAAUGAUAGGUCAAGUUAUAGAGCACCCUAAUAUGUUUUUUUCCUUUUCCACUCCACGUGUAAUUUCUUCUGCAGCCCAAGUUUACUCAUCUUACAGAGAGUUACAGCAUUCUCUGCUGGGGAUUUUUGAGAACAUUUAGGCAUAACCAGAGAAACCACAUUCAAUUUAUUCAUAGCAAAGAUGACACUGUUACUGCUUUGUGCACUUUUUCUAGAAUUCCUAUCCUUAUUUUCAGUUUUGGAGAUCUAUGUAAAAUGGUUGUUUUAGUCCAGUGGUUCUUUUGCAUUCCCACUAGCCUUACCCCUUCUCUUUUAGGGUCUCUAAAAUAACCUGCUUUUUAACAAUAAAAUCACUGCACUGGUUUGUAGGACAUGAGUUUUCAGCUGCCAACCAGGCAUAACACUACUUUUGAGUAUGUUGCUAUUGCAGUACUGUUUAUUUUGGAUUUAUGGCUGUUUCUUCACUGAAAACUUGAAAAGGUCAGCUUUGUCUCAGUAAGAAAAAGGGAAACUUUUGAAAUUUGUCUGGAAAAAAAUUUUCUUGCCCAUUUCUAUUUUUACAUAAAAUUUCUUCCACUCUUAAGGUUUUGGAGUCAACUAAUCUGAAAUCAAAAACUUAAAUGGCCCAUUGACACAGCUGCCUCUUCUUCUAAACCUACCAGAUGUGAACCUGAAACCAGUAAGUGAAAACUCAAAUUAAGCUCUAGAUCCUAAAUUAAUAUUAAGAAGCAAAAAAUCCUAUUGACAAAUCUGCAUUAUCCACUUUUCACCUUGACUUUCUCUUCCUCAGAGGUCAGGUGAUUAAUCACAAUCAAUCCAGGAGCCCACCAGAACAAAUGGAAAACCCCCACAUCUUCGUUAUAGUGGCUGAAAAAAUUAUACUUGAACAGCCAAAAGAAGAAAUGUGAAUGCAAAAGUGCAUACACGGCAAAUCAUUUGGUAUGACAACAUAUGUGUAACAAAAUCAUUUAUGUUUUUGUGUAGAUUACAAAGGUACAGAAAGAAAUAAAUUAUUUUCUGUAGGAUGUGUAUAUGUAACACCAAAAGUAAAAUUCAAAGAAGCACUUAACAAGGACAUUUCUCUUUAGGUUGAGAACUUAUUUUACAGAAGUUCAGCAGUGACAUUUUAAAAACAAUUCAGAAAUAUUUAUGUGGGAACCUGUGCUUCACCUUAAUCCAGGUAUAAUUAUGAUUGUAACAUUUUGUCAUCAUCUGAAUAUCUGAAUAAGGGGAAAGCAUAUUGGCUACUUGGAACAUUUCCUCUAAUCUUUUGCCCUUGGAAGUCCCUGACUCCUCUAAUUUCUGCUUAGGCUAACUAAAGCUAAUAUAUCAAAGAUACUUAUAUUGGUGACUCAUAGACUAAACUGCUGCUCAUAUUCAUUACUUAUUCUAUCUCUAAUAGCUAUCUUUUGUUAUAGUAAGUGCUAUACCCAGGCAUAUGGAGACUGCUGACCAAGAAAAACAAAUAUAGUCAUCCAUACAAAAUGUGUGUCUGGACUUCUGAGGUAUGAAUUCACUACAGAAUUAACUUACCCAUAAUUUCAGAGAAGAAAAUCAUCCCUUUCACUUGGGGGUGAGGAAGGGAGGAUCAGAUGGAAAUUAGCAGUAGAAAAGUGGAACCUGUCUAGGUUCUGCAUAAGAACUUCAUAUUUGUUCUAAAAGCACAUGGAGAAGAGUGAAUACCUUCACUCACUGUUCUUUACUGGUAAAACUUGCCUUGAACAGUUUCAGCCCCUUGAGUCAAGUGAGGAAUCCCAUUGCAAGAAAGACUUACCCUCAGUGGAGGAGGAUCAUGUCAGGGAACAUUCAAACAAACUAAGCACACGUGAGGAGUGUGCUCAUCCAUAGGAGCUAAUGGGAUGCAAUCAUGAGACCUGAGGAAGGUGGUCACUGUCAUUGCAAGAUUAUACUCAAUCUUUAAAAGGUCUGCAGACUGGUCAGCAUCAGCUGAGACUAGCACAGUUGGCCAGAGCAUAGUGCUGAUAACACCAAGGUUGUGGAUUCAAUCCCUAUAUGGGCCAUUCACUUCGGAGUUGGACUUGAUCUUUGUUGGUCCCUUCCAACUCAGAACAUUUUGUGAUUCUGUGAUCUUAGUCCCUGGGAAGGUGAGAGAGGAAAUCUUCCUGGAAGCCAUUCCCAAACAUAUAAAAGUCAAAAAGGAAAUUGGGAUUAGUCUUCAUGAAUUUAUUAAGUUAUAUGCUUAACCAAUCCAACAGCUUCCUAUGGUAUACUGACCAGCUCUGUAGGCAAGGGCUGACAAGUAGCUGGCAUUGUUUAUCUUGAUUUCAUCAAGCCUUUCAGAAUUGUCUCCCAUAAUAUUCUUACAAACAAAAUGACAAAGUACAGAAAGUCUAGAAAAGCUAGACAAAGUCUAGAAAAAAUGGACAGAGAUGGACUGAAUCAGACAAGAAAAACAGAGCCAGAUACCAAAGUACGUAAGACAGCAAACCAGGCCUUGAAACAAAGAAGCUAUUACUAAACUGUCAGGCUCAAGGCUUUCAGUCAGCAAAACAAAGUCCAGUUGGAGACCAGUCACUAGAGAUAUAGCCCAGGGGGUAGUGCAGAAAUUCUGUCUGAAUGGACACUGCGCUGACCAAGAGACACCAAUGUACCCUUGCAUCAAAGGUCAACAGCCUCUGGCUUCAUUAAGAGAAAUCUUUCCAGUAGGAUGAAGGAAAUGAUCAUUCCCCUCCACUUAGCCCUGGUGAGAUACAUCUGCAGUGCUAGGCCCAGUUUUGAGCUCCCCAGAGACAUAAAGAAAGACAUGGUGUGAGUCUCGAAAAGGGUCACAAAAAUUUAGAUACUGGAGCUUCUCUCACAAAGCAAAACAGAAAGAUGUCUCUGUUCAGCCUGAAGUUUAAAACACUCAGGGGGAUUAUGUCAAUGUGUAAAAAUACCAGACCAGAGGAGGUAAAGACGACAGAGCAAGAUUCUUAGUGGUGUCCAGUGCCAAGACAAGGGGCAAUAGGCUCAAAUGGAAGUAAAGUUACUUCCCUUUAAACGUUAGAAAAAAUAUAUUCUGUAAAUCAAAUUAGAAUGUGUUUACUGAAAGCAAGGUCAUAUACAGGUCUCCCAGAGAGGUUUUAAAGCCUGCAUCCUUAGAAAUAUUAAAACCUCAACUAAACAUGGUCUUGAUGAACAUUUGAGAAGAGGAUUGGCCUAGAUAAUCUCCAGAGAUUCCUUCCUGUCACAGCUAUUCUGUGAUACAGCAAUAAUAUCAAUUUUAAACAGGACCCUGACUCUUGUUAAGUCUUGUAUGGGCACAUAUAUAAGGCUUUGAUCCCAGCUAGAAAAACAAUUAAAAUCUAUAUUUUAUUCAGUCUUAAUCUAAAAAGGAUAUUUUCUCAGGAGAUUUUUAGAAUACAGUACAAAUAGUUAGUAAUAUCUGGGAGCAGAUUAGCAAAAUCGUGCAGGAAUUCCUUAAAAAAAAUUGCAGCAGAUAGUGGCCUAGGGUGUUUUUUCUGCUUCCUAACUUGGUGUUAGACACUGCCUUAGAACUUUAUCACAUGUUAAGAGACCUUUAUCUUCUGUCUUCUUUAAGCCAACAAUACCAGCUUUCAGAACUGUUGAAGCUAAGACGAUCUUAAUUUUCUAGUGUCCUUCACCACCUCCCAGAUUUCAGUAAGCUCUACUUAACAAGUGGAAGCCCCUCUGGACAAAAUGUUGACUUCUGUUCAGGACAAAGCAGUUUGUCAAAUCACAGCUCCAGGGAGUUGGUAACUAAGCAACAGAUCAACUGUUGGAAAACUUUGAUCUCCUAAUGAUGCUCAUUUGGGAACCUUCUGACAGGGAAUUCUCUGAGGGCUGGAGAGGAUCCUAUUCCAGAAAAUAUAAGGGAGCAAGAAAGAAGGAGAUGAGAAGUAUCCAAGAUGUGUUAUUCUACAAUCUCAAGACCUCAGCCUGAAAAUCCUUCCUCAAUCUGUUUUGACUCUUAAAUUCUACAAACCGUAUGUGAAAGAAGAGUGUUCAUGGAAGAAAAGGGCCAAAAACGUGGUCUUCCACAAGGAAAAUAGUUGUAAAAGAUUCCUUUCUCUGUGGCUUUUAAAGAUGGAAUCUCUUUGUUCAUAUAAAUUCCAAACAGAUAUGUUAGUUCUUGUUGAUGUUACUGCUGUGAGAUGCUUACCUCUGAAAUGCCCCCACUAACCAGGGGAGGUCACCAGUAGGAGACAGAUUUAGGUGACUGAAUAGUAAUAAAGCCACAUCUGAACCCCAACUUGCUGCAGAGGGUUUCAGCUUUAUGUCUCUGAUGUAUAAAUACCAUCAGUGUUGGCUCAAUGGCUCAUUCAACACCAGGCCACUAGUGGGAUCAGAAGAGGCAGAGGACACAGGACAAAAAGUAGUCCUGCAAAGACACAUUAAUCCUCUCAGCAAGGCAGCCCAAUGCAUCCAUGGCUUUCCAGCUGUGACACAAGAGGACUGUCCAAGUGUCUGUUGUACAGCUGUUUCACUCUUUCAUUGUGAGUAACAUAACUAAAAUUUAUAUGGAUGUCUAGCAAAAUGCCCUGUGGGAUUUUUAAUGGUUUGUUUCCCAAUAGUUCUCCAGCUGUGACAGUGACUAACAGAAUCUUGCAGGGGUCCAGAAUAUGCUUGAAAUACCUUUUACUUUUGCCUUAGAAAAGACACUACAUUUCUUUAUGAAUUCAGAGUUCACAACUGAACCAUAUUCUCAGCUAAAUUUUGGUUACAGAAGAUGCCCUUGCUUUCAUGUUGAAUUUGGACUAGAUACUGCUUACAUCCUCAGUGGCACCCUGCUUUUUCAUUGUUUUCUUUGUUUAUUUUACUCUUAAAUUUGCUUGUUUUGCUGAAGAACUGCUCUGAAUUUCUGUUUUAUACCAUAAUUCUUCCUUAUUUUAUUGCUAACCCCAGCACUACACGUACAGGAAUACUGCAUGAUGAAUAAUGACAAAUUUAGCCUCUUCAGAAAGAUUUCUGUUAAUGCCUUUGUUUCAUAGAAGUAUUUUUGGAAUGUGGCUGAAUUUUGCUCUGUAUUAAUCAUGCACCUAUGUGACAAUUUACUAUUUGUAAUCAGGACGUGGGUUGCUUGUGAGAGCCUGGCUUAGUUAUGUGUUAUUGCUUCUAUCCUGCAUUUGGCUGUACACACAAAACCUGGUGUACAACUGCUUGUAUGUACGUGUAUAGAGCCAAAUUUCUGUACUGGCAAAAUUCCAUGGUUGCACCACCAGAGAAUUAGGCCCUUUACAUUAAAUUUCUGUGACUCUUUGAAAAGACUUUAACAUUUACUCUCCAGUAACAUUUAUGCCAGAUCAGCAGGAGUGGAAAGAGAUACAAGCAGAGCCAAAAACAUUUGUCUAAAAAUUUGGUUAAGUAGUCAUGGACAAUUGCUUGAAAUAAUAACCCUGAGUACUAUUUGUCAUCAUUGAUCAUUAGUAGUUUUAUUAUUAGAUUUGUUACUGUUUCGUGUGUCCAGGAUUUAUUAUGUAGUGAAGCCUCUUAACUUUUAUUGAAACACUAAUGUGUAAAAUGGUGUUUAAACCUGUACUUUUCACUUUUUCUGGCAUUCUCUUAAAGAUAAUGACUGGCUGUGGAUAUGUACUUGAGUUCAACAAUAACUACUAAAGCUUUCAGCUGUAAUGAUUUUCUUUUAAUAAUAACACAUACCAUUUUACUUUUUCUUUUUUUCAUAUUCAGCAGUCCUUUUAAAUACUAAUUACUGCAUAAAAAAACAAUCUUACCAGAUGGAUCAAUCAUUGUCCCCACCUUUCAGGCAAGAAUAGAUAGGAAUCUUCAGCCUAAGCUUCUAAUUUUGGCUGCCUCAUAUUGAGGAUUGUUUCAUAAAACCUGGGUGACAUUAUGGGGUGCAAACCAUUUGUUUAUCCCCUAAUGGAAUCCCUGCAUACAUACAGUGUCCUCUGUGUUCUGUGACUCUGAAGUGAUGAAUGCGAGUCAGUUCAAAAAGAUUAUUUGAGACACUUUCCCUAAGGAUCAGAGAAAGACAACAAAACUUAGAUAUUUAUAAUUCUCACUUCUGGGCUGAGUUUUUGGCUUUAAUAUACCUGCCCCAUAAUGCUGUCUAUUUUAUGUAAUGAUUAUUCUGUUCAGUAUACAAAAAAUUAUAUAAUGCAUGUACAUAUCAAAGGAAUUUCAAGCAUUGUAUUGUAUGGCAUUUCCAAAUUACACAUGACAUGGCAGGAGGUUAUUCUGUUUGUCCAUUACAUUGCUCUGCUUAAAGCACACAGCUUCUUAUAAAUUAAGUGACUAUUUAUACUCAACUAUUUUGACAAUGACAAAUGACAUAGGUGAUAAUAUGUACGGAAAAGAAUAAAAAAUUGGCUAAGAUUUAAGAAGAGACUAGGGGUUUCAGACAUGUAGUUAGAGGAGCUUGGUUCUCACUGUAUGAAAGCCUAACAUUUCCUAAAAAUCUCCAGAAGUUUCUUUAACAGAAUGCCCAGAAUAAAACCAGUUCUCUUAAACACAACUGCUAGUAAUUUUAGAAAUAUAUGGCAUUGAGCUACACUAUUUAUUUACUUUACCUACCUGCCUGAAUGGGAUAUACAGAUACCAUCCCAUCCACUAUAGUUUGUCUAGCUACUCUGACACAGCCACAGUAAGGACCUGUCAAUAUGAAGGACUGGAAAAUACAUAUUUAAUAUGCUGUAACUGUGCAAGACUUUAUAUUAUUUGAAUUGCUUGAUAUGGAAUGCUGUUCUUAAGGCAAGCUACUCACAUUUUCUGAGGUCUCCUCUCAUUUCUGUAGAAAAUAAGUCCACCCUGGUGAUGCCAUGAUGAUUUUUUGCUUUUUCUUUUAUACCCCUGUUAUAUCUUUUUACAACUUCUGUAUUCUUAGUGCUUUUUGCCUACAUUCUUGGACUUGUUUGUUCAUCUAAGAGACCAAACAUUUUAGUAGCUUUGUAGGUAGGGAUCAUUGUGUCCCAGACCCCAAGGUCCUCUCCAGAACACAUUCUGUAAACUAAGAUAGAACUAUCCAGGGGAAGGCU